GUAUACAAUUACCGAAAUACCCCUGGUUGAACCUGGCAAUGUUUCUAAUAAGUGUUUCUGGUGUCUGCCUUGUCAUGCUGACGUCGUGCGCCGAGGAAUGUGCCCGGAUUCCCAAAGUCCUGAACGAUGUCAUGUUCCCGUUUCCGCUUCCGUGAAGCGGCAAACACGAGAGAGCGGCUGCUGUGGCAGCAGCCGCAUAAUUGCUACUUGAUCCUCUACCGGGGAAGACCCCAGCAAGACCCAUACGCAUAGCGCGUUUGGCGAGUGUUCUCUCACGUUUGUGAGCGUUUUGGUGACCACCUAGCGCUUGAGAGCUAUAGAACUUCCUUUGGCAGUAGUUACAAGAGAAGACUCUCUUUGAUACAGAUGGUUGUUGUUGCUGCUGCUGCUCCGGGUUACUACUCUCACUCG
RNAcentral lists this small RNA (411 nucleotides) under Arabidopsis thaliana (thale cress). RNAcentral describes it as "ATSL065850". Lineage: Eukaryota; Viridiplantae; Streptophyta; Magnoliopsida; Brassicales; Brassicaceae. The record is from RNAcentral.